This 1333-nucleotide ribosomal RNA is filed under the name Polycheles baccatus. RNAcentral describes it as "16S ribosomal RNA". The stretch from base 601 to 1333 matches the Rfam family "Archaeal large subunit ribosomal RNA", at positions 1423 to 2803 of the family's 2987-position model. The record is from RNAcentral. Lineage: Eukaryota; Metazoa; Arthropoda; Malacostraca; Decapoda; Polychelidae.
UGGGGAAAGCUUGUUAGUUAAGAUGGGAAAGAAAAAGAUUUUGGAAAAAAAAAAAAAAGUAAUUAGAAGUGAAUGGUUUGGUUUAAGGCUAAAGGGAAGAGUAUUGAGAAAGAAAGUUGAAAGAAAGGGAGAAAUAAAAGUAAAGAAAAAAUGAAAGUUUGUACCUUGUGUAUUAGGGUUAAUCUAAAUUAUUCUUGUAGUUGAAGGAAAUCCCGAAAUAGAAAGAGCUAAGUUAAGAAAAAAGUUUUUGUGUUAAGAAAAUUUAGAAUUUUAAUUUUGUAGUGAAAUAUUAGUCGUGUUUUAUAUAUCUGGUUUUUCUCGAAAAAAAUUUAAUUUUUUUUUUAUUUUGAAAAGGAAUAGAAGGUAAGGACAGGAGGGGCGAGCUUCUUGUCCAAGAAAAUGAAGGUAAUAUAGGAGAUUUAUAUUUUGUUUAAUUGGAUUAGGCUUAAAAGUGGCCAUAUUUAAAAAGUGUUUAAACUAAUUUUUUAGGGUUACUCAAAUUUAUAUUUUGUUUAUUUUUAGUAGGGGAAAGAUUUAAUAAGUAGAAGAUUAUUUGUUAAAAUGAUUAUAUUAGUAUAAGUUUGUUGUUGAAUAGUUAAAUAGAUUUUUAAAAAAAAAAAAUAAAAAAAGAAAAGGUAGUUUAGAGGAACUCGGCAAAAGAAACUUCUGCCUGUUUAUCAAAAACAUGUCUAUAUGUUGUUAUAUAAAGUCUGGCCUGCCCACUGAUUGUUAAGAUUAAAGGGCCGCGGUAUAUUGACCGUGCGAAGGUAGCAUAAUCAUUAGUCUUUUAAUUGGAGGCUGGAAUGAAUGGUUUCACAAGAAGUUUACUGUCUUUAUAUUAACAUUUGAAAUUAACUUUUAAGUGAAAAGGCUUAAAUAAUUUAAGGGGACGAUAAGACCCUAUAAAACUUUACAUAGAAAAAAUAUUUUAGGAAAUUAUUUGUGUCUAAAUAUAAGAAGUUUGUGUAUGUUUUGUUGGGGCGACAAGAAUAAAAUAAGAAUUGUAACUGUUUUAAAGAAGUAGAGUCAAUAAUUUUUGAAAAAAAAAUGGUCCUUAAAAAAGAGUAGAAGAGUAAGUUACUUUAGGGAUAACAGCGUUAUUUUUUUGGAGAGUUCUUAUCAAUAAAAAAGAUUGCGACCUCGAUGUUGAAUUAAAAUUUCUUUAUAGUGCAGAAGCUAUAAGAGAAAGUCUGUUCGACUUUUAAAAUUUUACAUGAUUUGAGUUCAAACCGGUGUGAGCCAGGUUGGUUUCUAUCUUUUAAAAAAAAAAAAUUACUUUAGUACGAGAGGACCAGGUAAUUUAAAUAGUUUGUUUAAGUAUUAGAAUAAAAUU